UCCAAAGUGAGCAUCCUGAGCACCUUGCUGAGAGCCCCCAGCUUGCUAGGUCACCUUCUGUGACUUCUACUGGCUGCACGCUGCAUGGGAAGGACUCUGGGAGACCCUGAAGCCAUGCAAUGGAGGCAGUGACCUUUAAGGAUGUGGCUGUGAACUUCACCAUGGAGGAGUGGGCUUUGCUGAAUCCAUCCCAAAAGAAGCUCUACAGAGAUGUGAUGAGGGAAACCUUUAGGAACAUGACUGCCAUAGGAACAGUCUGGGAUCAAAAAGUUGGAGAAGAGUACAAAAAUUACUGGAGAAAUCUAAGAAAUGAAGAGGUAGAGAAAUGUUAUCAAAGUAAAGAUUGGAAUGAAUGUGAAGAAAUAUUUCUUUAUACUCCAGAUGCUAAUGUAGACAAGGAACAAGCUGGUUUAAAACCACCUGAGGGCCUUGCUUGCAAAAAGCCCCUGACUGGGCACUUGUCACUAAAUGUGGCCAUCACCGCUCACACUGGAGUGAAGCCAUCUGAGUGCUUGGGAUGGGAAGAGAAGCUACAUAAAUGUAAUGAAAAUGGAAGAACCUGCGGUGAUCUCCAGUCCUUUCAGAAGGAUGCAAGGACAGAAACUGGAGAGAAACCCUAUGAAUAUAAUCAAUGUGGGAAAUCCUACCACUAUCUUAGUGAAAGAACUCACCUUAGAGAGACCUUUGUGUGUAAGAAAAACUUGAAUGCCUCCAGCAUAUCCAGUGAUGUUCGGAUCCAUGAAAGAAAUCACAACGGGGGGAAGCUCUAUGUAUGUAAGCAGUGUGGGAAAGCUUUUCAGUCUCAAGGUUAUUGUAACAUACACAAAAGAACUCACACUGGGGAGAAACUCUA
This is a non-coding RNA of Heterocephalus glaber (naked mole-rat), 853 nucleotides long. The record is from RefSeq and is a predicted model, not a curated record. NCBI's taxonomy places the organism in Eukaryota, Metazoa, Chordata, Mammalia, Rodentia, Bathyergidae.